CUAACACAUGCAAGUCGAACGCUAUCUUGUAUAGAGUGGCGCACGGGUGAGUAACGCGUGGGAACCUGCCUUUCUCUGCGGGACAACGGUUGGAAACGGCCGCUAAUACCGCAUACGCCCUACGGGGGAAAGGUCAGCCGGAGAAAGAGGGGCCCGCGUUUGAUUAGCUAGUUGGUGGGGUAAUGGCCUACCAAGGCAACGAUCAAUAGCUGGUCUGAGAGGAUGAUCAGCCACACUGGGACUGAGACACGGCCCAGACUCCUACGGGAGGCAGCAGUGGGGAAUAUUGGACAAUGGGGGCAACCCUGAUCCAGCAAUGCCGCGUGUGUGAUGAAGGCCCUAGGGUUGUAAAGCACUUUCACUGGUGAAGAUGAUGACGGUAACCAGAGAAGAAGCCCCGGCUAACUUCGUGCCAGCAGCCGCGGUAAUACGAAGGGGGCGAGCGUUGUUCGGAAUU
RNAcentral lists this ribosomal RNA (457 nucleotides) under uncultured bacterium. RNAcentral's name for it is "bacterial SSU rRNA". It matches the Rfam family "Bacterial small subunit ribosomal RNA", at positions 48 to 552 of the family's 1533-position model. The record is from RNAcentral.